UCUACUAUUUAACUUAAACGUUAAUUUAACGUAAAUGUUCAAUUUACAAAUGUGUUGAUUAUACUUAACCUAAGCUAAUCGUCAAUCCUAGCUAGCCCACCAUGAGCUCUCCAAGCUACUCUCCUCCUGCUAAAGAAGAGUCUGCUGGACGGAGAAAGAGGGUCUGUGGCUGAACAUUGUCGUGAAAGAAGAGGGGGAGGAUGUUUCAGUAAAAGGAGAGGAAGAAGCUUUCAGAAUGAAAGAGGAGGCUAUCAGUAUCACAUUGAAAGAAGAGGAAGAACCUUUUGGAGUGGAAGAGGAGGCUAUCCCAAUAAAAGAGGAGGAAGACGCUUGGAGAGAUGAAGAGGAGACUGAAGAUCUGAUUAACACCCGAGAGAGACCAAACUCUCAUGAUGACAGCGGGAAGAGUCCUUCAGGGAAACCAGACCCGGCGACGCCCAAACCAACGAGACGACAUCAGUGCUCCCACUGUGGGAAGAGUUUUCCCUGGUUAAAGGCCCUGAAGCAGCAUAAGAAAAACACUCUGGAGAGAAGCCUUACCGCUGUUCUCAAUGUGGAAUGACUUUUACCUGGGCAGGAAGCCUAUGGGGGCAUAAGAGAAUACACUCUGGAGAGAAGCCUUACCACUGCUCCCACUGUGAAAAUAGUUUUAGGAAGUUAGGUGACCUGAAGGCGCAUGAGAGGACACACACGGGAGAAAAGCCCUACCAAUGCUCCCAGUGUGGAAAUAGUUUUAGCAAGCUGGGGAACCUAAAACAGCAUAAAAGAACACACACAGGAGAAAAGCCCUACCAAUGCUCUCAGUGUGGAAAGAGUUUUAGCCAUUCAGGAGCCUUAAAGACCACGAGAGGAGACACAGACAAGAAAAACCCUACCAAUGCUCCCUGUGUGGAAAGAGUUUUAUCAAGUUAGGGGCCCUGAAUCGGCAUGAGAGGACACACACUGGAGGGGAUAAAACGUACCACUGCUCCCUGUGUGAAAAGAGUUUUAACCGGUUAAGACAUCUGAAUAAGCAUGAAAGAAUACAUACACAGGAGGAGAAGACAUACCACUGCUCUCAGUGUGGAAAGACAUUUUCCCAGUCAGAGGACCUGAAAUCACAUGAGAGAAUAGAGAGGCUGUGUUCUGACUUGUGCUUUUAACUGAGAAUUAGUGUUUUUGUUUCAUGUUGUUUAUGAUUUAACCUGUCUAUAUAAUACAUAACUGUACUAUAACACACACAGGAGAGAAAACCUUCCACUCAUUUUGCUUUUGACUGAGAAUUAAAGUGUUUUUUGUUUCAUGUUGUUUAUGAUUAAACCUGUACAUAACAGUACUAUAACACACACAGGAGAGAAAACCUUCCACUGUUCUCAUUUAGCCUUUGACUGAGAAUGAAGUGUUUUUUGUUUCAUGUUGUUUAUGAUUAAACCUGUCUAUAUAAUACAUAACAGUACUAUAACACACACAGGAGAGAAAACCUUCCACUGUUCUCAUUUAGCCUUUGACUGAGAAUUAAAGUGUUUUUUGUUUCAUGUUGUUUAUGAUUAAACCUGUCUAUAUAAUACAUAACAGUACUAUAACACACACAGGAGAGAAAACCUUCCACUGUUCUCAUUUAGCCUUUGACUGAGAAUGAAGUGUUUUUGUUUCAUGUUGUUUAUGAUUAAACCUGUACAUAACAGUACUAUAACACACACAGGAGAGAAAACCUUCCACUGUUCUCAUUUUGCUUUUGACUGAGAAUGAAGUGUUUUUUGUUUCAUGUUGUUUAUGAUUAAACCUGUACAUAACAGUACUAUAACACACACAGGAGAGAAAACCUUCCACUGUUCUCAUUUAGCCUUUGACUGAGAAUGAAGUGUUUUUUGUUUCAUGUUGUUUAUGAUUAAACCUGUCUAUAUAAUACAUAACAGUACUAUAACACACACAGGAGAGAAAACCUUCCACUGUUCUCAUUUGGCUUUUGACUGAGAAUUAAAGUGUUUUUGUUUCAUGUUGUUUAUGAUUAAACCUGUCUAUAUAACACAUAACUUAAUUGAAUUAAAGUGUUUUUUUGUUUUUUUUAUAAUCCACUGAUGGGUUUAGAUUUGUAAACUUUAAAUAUUGUUAAUCGUCCGUUUUACGAGAGACAUAAGGGGAUGUCAUAGUCUGGUUUCUACAACAGAAGUUAAAUGGUUAUGAGGAAUGUAUAUAUGGUGGGUUCAGUUAAGAUUGGAAUGUGUUGAGUGAAGGGAGGUCAGUGUCACAUGCUGGUGGAGAGAUGUGGGUUAGUGAGGAAGGGAGCCGAGGUCAGUGUCACAUGCUGGUGGAGAGAUGUGGGUUAGUGAGGAAGGGAGCCGAGGUCAGUGUCACAUGCUGGUGGAGAGAUGUGGGUUAGUGAGGAAGGGAGCCGAGGUCAGUGUCACAUGCUGGUGGAGAGAUGUGGAUUAGUGAGGAAGGGAGCCGAGGUCAGUGUCACAUGCUGGUGGAGAGAUGUGGGUUAGUGAGGAAGGGAGCCGAGGUCAGGUCACAUGCUGGUGGAGAGAUGUGGAUUAGUGAGGAAGGGAGCCGAGGUCAGGUCACAUGCUGGUGGAGAGAUGUGGAUUAGUGAGGAAGGGAGCCGAGGUCAGGUCACAUGCUGGUGGAGAGAUGUGGGUUAGUGAGGAAGGGAGCCGAGGUCAGGUCACAUGCUGGUGGAGAGAUGUGGAUUAGUGAGGAAGGGAGCCGAGGUCAGGUCACAUGCUGGUGGAGAGAUGUGGGUUAGUGAGGAAGAGAGCAGAGGUCAGGUCACAUGCUGGUGGAGAGAUGUGAGGAAGGGAGCCGAGGUCAGGUCACAUGCUGGUGGAGAGAUGUGGAUUAGUGAGGAAGGGAGCCGAGGUCAGGUCACAUGCUGGUGGAGAGAUGUGAGGAAGGGAGCCGAGGUCAGGUCACAUGCUGGUGGAGAGAUGUGGAUUAGUGAGGAAGGGAGCCGAGGUCAGGUCACAUGCUGGUGGAGAGAUGUGAGGAAGGGAGCCGAGGUCAGGUCACAUGCUGGUGGAGAGAUGUGGAUUAGUGAGGAAGGGAGCCGAGGUCAGGUCACAUGCUGGUGGAGAGAUGUGGAUUAGUGAGGAAGGGAGCCGAGGUCAGGUCACAUGCUGGUGGAGAGAUGUGGAUUAGUGAGGAAGGGAGCCGAGGUCAGGUCACAUGCUGGUGGAGAGAUGUGGAUUAGUGAGGAAGGGAGCCGAGGUCAGGUCACAUGCUGGUGGAGAGAUGUGGAUUAGUGAGGAAGGGAGCCGAGGUCAGGUCACAUGCUGGUGGAGAGAUGUGGAUUAGUGAGGAAGGGAGCCGAGGUCAGGUCACAUGCUGGUGGAGAGAUGUGGAUUAGUGAGGAAGGGAGCCGAGGUCACAUGAAGGGAGAAGGAACAGUUUAUCGCCCGCGUCACUUAACUUCCUGCCUAGCAACAAAGAUGUCAUUUCUAGAGAGAAGGACGAGACUCCACCCAGAUUGGAGUAUAUAUAUACACAUAUACAUAUAUAUAUAUACACUACCACUGGUGGAAGUAUGUCUUUGUCUUUGUCUGUUCAGCCGUUCGAUCCUUUGGGUGAUUAAAGUUGGUUGGCACUUUU
Molecule: long non-coding RNA, 3567 nt
Organism: Oncorhynchus nerka (sockeye salmon)
Lineage: Eukaryota; Metazoa; Chordata; Actinopteri; Salmoniformes; Salmonidae
Exons: 2
Source: RefSeq, a predicted model, not a curated record